CUGGGUACAAGUACAAUCAUAAUCACUUGUCACACGUUGAGGAUACAUGUGCCCCUCAACCCAGGCCAGACUACACGAUGGAUGUGAAGAUAAUGGACCUGAGUGAGGCUUGAUUGGCAGAGAUGGUCCUGGCUGCUAAGGAUCAGCCUCCUCACCUUAAGCAGAUUUGAUCAUGAUCUCCAGCCAAAGGUUCAAUUCACCAGGACCUUGUGGAUUGGCCAACUGGUCCCCCUCCCAGCUACCAUUCCAGAGGAAGAUUCCAUGCUCCAUGGUGAGACAGCACUCUGGUGUGUUCAAGUCCUGAAAGAGAUCCAGAGAGGUAAGCUGCCCAUUAACAUACCCUACAUUUUCUUUCUUCUCUGUCCUGUUUCCCUUCUCCACAUCCUUAAUAAAAUAUUUACAUUCAUAUCCUUAUCUUAGUUCCACUACUCAGGGAUCCAAUGCUAAGAUCAAAUGGCUUCCUAAUUUAAAGAAAAUUGGAAGAUAUUGGGUUAAAGUUACACAGGUGUCUCCUUCUCAAGUCCUUAAUAUGCUAAUAUUUAUUGUGACUAUCAAAGGGAAUUGGUGUAGGGAUUAUUCCCAAACUUAAUUAGGAUCAUUUCUCUCCCAUUCCCAAGCAUUUUAUGAGAUUAGUUUGUGAGGAACAAACUUGGGAAUUAACUUUUGGGACAUUCUAACUCUAGCAAAACCUCCUUAUACAAAAUAUUUUGUGACAAGACGAUUAGCCUUAAAGAAUUAGGAAUUUUUAUAUUAGAAUUACUAGUUAUGAGUAGUUUGAAUAACCCAUCAUGGUUUUCAAAGGGUAAGACACUGAAAUGUUAUGAGGCCAUAACUUUAGCUUCAUUGUGGGUCAUCACCCUUGGUGAGUAGACAGUUAACUUAAAUGAUGGAGUCACCUCAGUCCCCACGAUCCCAGCAAGGAAGUCAUGGAAAUGAUAAAUGCAGUAACAUUUUCUGUGGCUUUGAUAGAAAUACAUUUUUGAUCUGGAGAGACAGAUAUGAUUCCCAUGUUAUAAAUGAGGAAACUAAAGCUCUCAGAAAGGUUAAGAGAAGUCUCCAAAGUCAUACUGCUAUAAAAAAAAUGACAAGUCCAGGGCCAGAAGGUUGAGCUUCAUCCUAGUCCAGUGCUCUCUCCUCUGUUCCUUAUUGCUUCCAUGUGAUAUGGGAGCAAGAAGAUUAGAAUGGAGAGAUGGGCUGGACUAGGAGAAUCCUAGUUCAAAAAAAUCUGGAGAACAGAACUGAGGGUUUGUUUUAUGGGCUAUUCAGUCAGUGGGUCUUUGUAUCUUUGGACAGAAAUCAAAGUCCAUGUUCCCUUUCCUAUUCAUUUCCCUUUCUGUGAUGUUCUGCUGCUUCUUCCUAAAGUACAUUAUGAUAGACAAGGUAGUGAAGAGGAUCUCCAUUCCAAUAUGUCUUAUGUUACAACCCCUUCUCUCUAUACAUUUACAUCUUUCUGAGAAACCUAACUUGUGGAUCACAUGUUUGGUUUCAGGAGAGGGUCUUGUGUUAACAUUGCUUUCUUGGUCUUCAAUUAAAGGACCAGUAGGGAUACAAGUUUUUGUUUGUUCUAUUGUUUGUUUGUUUGUUUACUUAAUCCUUAAGUACUUAUUAUUUUAAAUAGUAUUUUAAAGUAUUUUAAACAGUGAGAGCUUAAUGAUCUAAACAGGAAAAUUGGAAGCAAGGCUUAUAGUUCCAGGUCUGGGAAAAAAAAAAUCUACUGGAGACCUGUUAAAAUAAAAUAAAUGUUGAGAAGCUGCCCUUUAAGUUUUUCUAUUUUGUCUUGGAGUUUCUGCAUAAUAAAUUUGGGUGCUAUGUCACUAACAUAAUUUAACCAUAUAUCACUUAGUCUUUCUCUAGCUUCUGUGGUUUUUAAGAUGUCUACUACUCUGAAGAUAAUUCUAAGAGAUUCUGACAAUGACAAAUACUUUACGAAUGCUGGAAGGUAAAAUAAAACAAAAAAUAAAAA
RNAcentral lists this long non-coding RNA (1963 nucleotides) under Canis lupus familiaris (dog). RNAcentral's name for it is "lncRNA (ENSCAFG00000057351.1)". Lineage: Eukaryota; Metazoa; Chordata; Mammalia; Carnivora; Canidae. The record is from RNAcentral.